This 399-nucleotide ribosomal RNA is filed under the name uncultured beta proteobacterium. Its description in RNAcentral is "bacterial SSU rRNA". It matches the Rfam family "Bacterial small subunit ribosomal RNA", at positions 1041 to 1446 of the family's 1533-position model. The record is from RNAcentral. Lineage: Bacteria; Pseudomonadati; Pseudomonadota; Betaproteobacteria.
CUGCAUGGCUGUCGUCAGCUCGUGUCGUGAGAUGUUGGGUUAAGUCCCGCAACGAGCGCAACCCUUGUCAUUAGUUGCUACGAAAGGGCACUCUAAUGAGACUGCCGGUGACAAACCGGAGGAAGGUGGGGAUGACGUCAAGUCCUCAUGGCCCUUAUGGGUAGGGCUUCACACGUCAUACAAUGGUCGGGACAGAGGGUCGCCAACCCGCGAGGGGGAGCCAAUCCCAGAAACCCGAUCGUAGUCCGGAUCGCAGUCUGCAACUCGACUGCGUGAAGUCGGAAUCGCUAGUAAUCGCGGAUCAGCAUGUCGCGGUGAAUACGUUCCCGGGUCUUGUACACACCGCCCGUCACACCAUGGGAGUGGGUUUUACCAGAAGUAGUUAGCCUAACCGCAAGG